AAAACGCCUAAAAUGAGAAAAGAAGCCCUAAAAGUUCUCACUUCUCACUCUCGUCUUCCUCAUCAUGCCGUCUCCCGUCAUGUUCUCUCAAAUCAUCAAUGGCAGAUUUUGGUCUUCCAGUUGCAUGUCUUCACACUCCAGUGCUACACAUCUUCUCCUGUAAUUUUUUUCUCUACUUUUCAUAUUUUGCUCAACUCUUGAGCCAUUGUCUUGUCCACGAAAUUGCUGCCUGCUGCAAUAUUUGAAACUUAAACUGCCUUAGCCUUCACCCUUCAGGUCCUGUAAUAGUUAGAUUUCAGAGCUCGUCUAGUCUUGUUAUUUUUCUUAAACUUUAUCAAUUAAUUAUUCGUUGUGUUUUUUAUUUUUUUGGGGUUUAUUAAUAGAUUCAAAAUCUGUUGUGGCCUGCGUGAAUUCACAAUACUUUAGCCAUUAUUCACCGGCAUAUUAACUUUAGGCUUGUCUCACUAAUUUUUAUUUUUAUUUUUGGUACUAAUGUUGUUGUAGACAUGCUGCUGUUACGACAAAUAUCUCAGGAAAUACCUACAUGGGCUGCAUUUCGUGCUGGUGCAAUAUUGGAGGUAAGGGUCCCUGCAUGCAUUUUACUUUGUUACUGUCAUUCUAGAGUGUUUCUGCAAGAUGAGUGGCGGAAGUAUAGAUUGGCAGACGUAUAUCUCACUAAUUUUACUUGGUUAUAUAUCUCAGGAAAUUCCUACAUUGGUUGCAUCUAGUAUGUCUUUUAAAACAAAUGUAGGUAUAAGAAGUAUAGAGUGGCAGAAGAUACCCAAAUGACCUAUAUUCAGUAUUUUUGCAAGAUCACCUCUUCGACUAGAAAACAAUUGCACAUAAAAUUAGUAGUACUAGAAAAUGUGUUAGUUUUUCACUAGCAAAUCGGCACAGUAAGCCUUGGUUUUUUGUGUCUAUAUUAUGUGUUGAUUUUUCACCUAUAUGUCAUGUAAAACAACGCGAAUCAGUUAUGUUUUUACGUCUUAUGUAAUAAAUUACAAUUUGCUCAAACCGACCGACCCGACCCGACCGACACUUGAUUGGGUUGGGUUGGGUUGAU
RNAcentral lists this long non-coding RNA (1063 nucleotides) under Olea europaea subsp. europaea. The record is from RNAcentral. Lineage: Eukaryota; Viridiplantae; Streptophyta; Magnoliopsida; Lamiales; Oleaceae.